RNAcentral lists this ribosomal RNA (460 nucleotides) under uncultured bacterium. Its description in RNAcentral is "partial 16S ribosomal RNA". It matches the Rfam family "Bacterial small subunit ribosomal RNA", at positions 338 to 795 of the family's 1533-position model. The record is from RNAcentral.
CCUACGGGAGGCAGCAGUGAGGAAUAUUGGUCAAUGGACGAGAGUCUGAACCAGCCAAGUAGCGUGAAGGAUGACUGCCCUAUGGGUUGUAAACUUCUUUUAUAAAGGAAUAAAACGAGGCACGUGUGCCCUUUUGCAUGUACUUUAUGAAUAAGGAUCGGCUAACUCCGUGCCAGCAGCCGCGGUAAUACGGAGGAUCCGAGCGUUAUCCGGAUUUAUUGGGUUUAAAGGGAGCGUAGAUGGGUUGUUAAGUCAGUUGUGAAAGUUUGCGGCUCAACCGUAAAAUUGCAAUUGAUACUGGCAGUCUUGAGUACAGUUGAGGUAGGCGGAAUUCGUGGUGUAGCGGUGAAAUGCGUAGAUAUCACGAAGAACCCCGAUUGCGAAGGCAGCUUACUAAACUGUGACUGACAUUGAUGCUCGAAAGUGUGGGUAUCAAACAGGAUUAGAUACCCUGGUAGUC